RNAcentral lists this ribosomal RNA (228 nucleotides) under uncultured bacterium. RNAcentral describes it as "partial 16S ribosomal RNA". It matches the Rfam family "Bacterial small subunit ribosomal RNA", at positions 130 to 353 of the family's 1533-position model. The record is from RNAcentral.
CUCAUAGAGGGGAAGUAGCCUUUCGAAAGGAAGAUUAANACCGCAUAAGAUUGUAGUACCGCAUGGUACAGCAAUUAAAGGAGUAAUCCGCUAUGAGAUGGACCCGCGUCGCAUUAGCUAGUUGGUGAGGUAACGGCNCACCAAGGCGACGAUGCGUAGCCGACCUGAGAGGGUGAUCGGCCACAUUGGGACUGAGACACGGCCCAGACUCCUACGGGAGGCAGCAUG